GGAGGGGUGGCCGAGCGGUUGAAGGCGCACGCCUGGAACGCGUGUAUAUCUUAACGGGUAUCGUGGGUUCGAAUCCCACCCCCUCCG
Molecule: transfer RNA, 87 nt
Filed under: Allostigmatella aurantiaca
Lineage: Bacteria; Pseudomonadati; Myxococcota; Myxococcia; Myxococcales; Archangiaceae
Also listed under: 8 other names
Description: Stigmatella aurantiaca tRNA
Rfam family: tRNA
About the family: Transfer RNA (tRNA) molecules are approximately 80 nucleotides in length.
Source: Rfam by way of RNAcentral